UCCUAGCCCUGAUGGAAGCGAUAUCCUUUAGUGUCUCUUUUUUAGAGACACUAAAGAUAUAGCGGACAGCAGGACAACUG
This 80-nucleotide small RNA is filed under the name Flavobacterium sp. A45. Its description in RNAcentral is "Flavo-1 RNA". It matches the Rfam family "Flavo-1 RNA". The record is from Rfam by way of RNAcentral. Lineage: Bacteria; Pseudomonadati; Bacteroidota; Flavobacteriia; Flavobacteriales; Flavobacteriaceae.